This 253-nucleotide ribosomal RNA is filed under the name uncultured bacterium. Its description in RNAcentral is "partial 16S ribosomal RNA". It matches the Rfam family "Bacterial small subunit ribosomal RNA", at positions 524 to 776 of the family's 1533-position model. The record is from RNAcentral.
UACGAAGGGGGCUAGCGUUGUUUGGAAUUACUGGGCGUAAAGCGCACGUAGGCGGGUCGUUAAGUCAGGGGUGAAAUCCCGGAGCUCAACUCCGGAACUGCCUUUGAUACUGGCGAUCUUGAGAUCGGAAGAGGUGAGUGGAACUCCUAGUGUAGAGGUGGAAUUCGUAGAUAUUGAGAAGAACACCAGUGGCGAAGGCGGCUAACUGGUCCGGUACUGACGCUGAGGUGCGAAAGCGUGGGGAGCAAACAGG